GCUCGGUUCGGUCUUUUUUGAGAUAGUGCUAAUCUUGAUGCAAGAUAGAUGCACGGUUUGCAUGGAACAUACAAUAUGCUCAGAAAUCAAUUAGGACGCACCUGAUAUAACUCCAUGAUGAUGUGUGUAAUAUGGAAUCUUGCUUCGGUUCGUUUAGAGAUUGUGUUAGUUUUGGUAGAAGAUAUGUGCACGGUUUAUGCCAUAUGCACCAUAGGCUAAGAAACCAUUUUAGACGCACCCGAUGGUACUCGUAGUUGAAGAGGCUCAAGUGGAGGCUUGAUUUGGUCAGUUCGGAUAUAGUGCUA
Molecule: long non-coding RNA, 305 nt
Filed under: Sorghum bicolor (sorghum)
Lineage: Eukaryota; Viridiplantae; Streptophyta; Magnoliopsida; Poales; Poaceae
Description: long non-coding RNA (SBIC_LNC004910)
Source: RNAcentral